This 253-nucleotide ribosomal RNA is filed under the name uncultured bacterium. RNAcentral describes it as "partial 16S ribosomal RNA". It matches the Rfam family "Bacterial small subunit ribosomal RNA", at positions 524 to 776 of the family's 1533-position model. The record is from RNAcentral.
UACGUAGGGUGCAAGCGUUGUCCGGAAUUAUUGGGCGUAAAGAGCUCGUAGGCGGUUUGUCGCGUCUGCUGUGAAAACCGGAGGCUCAACCUCCGGCCUGCAGUGGGUACGGGCAGACUAGAGUGCGGUAGGGGAGAUUGGAAUUCCUGGUGUAGCGGUGAAAUGCGCAGAUAUCAGGAGGAACACCAGCGGCGAAGGCGGCGCUCUGGGCCGGAACUGACGCUGAGGAGCGAAAGCGUGGGUAGCAAACAGG